CCUACGGGUGGCAGCAGUGAGGAAUAUUGGUCAAUGGCCGAGAGGCUGAACCAGCCAAGUCGCGUGAGGGAAGACGGCCCUACGGGUUGUAAACCUCUUUUGUAGGGGAGUAAAGCGAGUCACGUGUGACUCAUUGUAUGUACUCUAUGAAAAAGGAUCGGCUAACUCCGUGCCAGCAGCCGCGGUAAUACGGGGGAUCCGAGCGUUAUACGGAUUUAUUGGUUUUAAAGGGUGCGAAGGGGGAGGUGAAAGUCAGUGGUAAAAGUACGGGGCUCAACCCAGUACUGCCAUUGAAACUGGAUGCCUUGAGUGCGUGAGAGGUAGGCGGAAUUCGUGGUGUAGCGGUGAAAUGCAUAGAUAUCACGAAGAACUCCGAUUGCGAAGGCAGCAUACCGGCGCGCAACUGACGCUCAUGCACGAAAGUGUGGGUAUCAAACAGGAUUAGAUACCCCUGUAGUC
Molecule: ribosomal RNA, 459 nt
Filed under: uncultured bacterium
Lineage: Bacteria
Description: partial 16S ribosomal RNA
Rfam family: Bacterial small subunit ribosomal RNA
Source: RNAcentral